Molecule: ribosomal RNA, 404 nt
Filed under: uncultured bacterium
Lineage: Bacteria
Description: bacterial SSU rRNA
Rfam family: Bacterial small subunit ribosomal RNA
Source: RNAcentral
UGGGGGAUAUUGCACAAUGGAGGAAACUCUGAUGCAGCGACGCCGCGUGAGGGAAGAAGGUCUUCGGAUUGUAAACCUCUGUCUUUGGGGACGAAGAAAGUGACGGUACCCAAAGAGGAAGCCACGGCUAACUACGUGCCAGCAGCCGCGGUAAUACGUAGGUGGCGAGCGUUGUCCGGAAUUACUGGGUGUAAAGGGUGCGUAGGCGGACUGGCAAGUUGGAUGUGAAAUCUCCGCGCUUAACGUGGAGGUUGCAUUCAAAACUGUUGGUCUUGAGUGAGGCAGAGGCAGGCGGAAUUCCCGGUGUAGCGGUGAAAUGCAUAGAGAUCGGGAGGAACACCAGUGGCGAAGGCGGCCUGCUGGGCCUUAACUGACGCUGAGGCACGAAAGCAUGGGUAGCAAAC